RNAcentral lists this long non-coding RNA (610 nucleotides) under Vulpes vulpes (red fox). Its description in RNAcentral is "lncRNA (ENSVVUG00000015331.1)". The record is from RNAcentral. Lineage: Eukaryota; Metazoa; Chordata; Mammalia; Carnivora; Canidae.
GAUUGUCAACGUUACCAUGGCAACCUGUUUGAAGGGGCUGCCAAGAAAGGCACCUCAGGCUUCCCUACAGCUGACACUCACCAAUGAUGCUCAUCUUUGACUAAAGGGGUGGAGCACAAACUCUUGAUGUAACCAGCAUCCUAUACCAAAGGACUUUUUUUUUUCCACGUUAUCAGAUAAUUAAGAAUUCAUUGAAUUCCUAAUAUGAGCUGAAUUCUGGUGCAGCGCAGAACAUUCCAAAGCUGUGGGCUCCCUACACCCGCCAAAGUGAGAGGACAUAUGGAGCUUCUCCUUGUGUUUCCAUUCAUUCUCCCUUCUCUCUGCACUCAGAAGGAAAUGGUGGUAAUUCCCAAGUGCAAUCGAGGACAUCUUCGUGAGGCCAGCAAACACCUGCAGGGACCAGCCUUGUAGACCACAGUCCGGAACCCAGGCCAUGACAAUACAUGUGAUUCAUCUACACAGGCACCAGCUUGGGAGAAAGAGGAAGAAAGGCAACUCUUUGAGAACAGCAGAACUGAAGAUCUAGCCAAACGUCUACGCAAGAUUUAGGGAAUGGACACUUAAGAUGUUUAGAUAAGUUAUUGAAAUAAAGAAGCUAUCAUUUUUGGCA